AAAAUUUUUAACUCUGAGAUAUUGUUAAAUGUAAAAUUAAUUUAAAAUUAAUUAAUUAUGCUUAUUAUUUUUAUAUUUUGAAGGAAUUAAUCUUAUCUAUUCAAAAAAUAUUAUAAUAAAUUAUAAUUAAAUUAAUAAAAAUUGAAAAUGUCAAUAUUAUAAAAUUUAUUAAAUAUAUGAUGAAAAUAAAAAAAAUUAAAUAUUUCAUAUUAUUCAUAAUAUAAUAAAAUAAUAAAAAUUAUCAGAGGGGUCAAUAAUUAAAAUAAAAUAAUUUUUUCUAAAGAAUAUACAUAUAUGAGGGGCAUGGCCCCCUGCCCCCACUAACCCCCUUCCCUUUUGAUAACGUUAAGUUAUUUUGAUAAUUUUUAUGCAAGUCAAAAUGGAUUUUAGUCCCAUGUUAUCUUGAGCCCGUUAGAUAUCUAUUAUGUUGCGUCAAGGAAAAAAAAAAAAGAAGCCUAUUGAAGGAAAAUUAAUAAAUUAUUAAAUAAAUUAAUAAAAUCAGAAAUAGAUGAUAUAAUUAAACAAAAAUGCAAAAACUAAGAUAUAUUUAAUUUUUAAGCUAAAAAAAAAAUUUGGAAGUUAAGCCGUAGAAUUACCUCUCAAUCACCCUCCAUCUGAAUAUUCAGAAAAGUUUUCUUUAUCAAAUGCAACUUGUUCAUGACAUCAGCCAUAUUCAUU
RNAcentral lists this unclassified non-coding RNA (678 nucleotides) under Hevea brasiliensis (rubber tree). Lineage: Eukaryota; Viridiplantae; Streptophyta; Magnoliopsida; Malpighiales; Euphorbiaceae. The record is from RNAcentral.